UAAUACGUAGGAUGCAAGCGUUGCCCGGAUUUAUUGGGUGUAAAGGGCGCGUAGGUGGCCCAGUAAGUCAUAGGUGAAAGCCCUCGGCUUAACCGAGGAACUGCCUAUGAUACUGCAGGGCUAGAGUACUGGAGAGGGAAGUGGAAUUCCUGGUGUAGCGGUGAAAUGCGUAGAUAUCAGGAGGAACACCGGUGGCGAAGGCGGCUUCCUGGACAGAUACUGACACUGAGGCGCGAAAGCGUGGGUAGCAAACAGGAUUAGAUACCCUGGUAGUCCACGCCCUAAACGAUGGGCACUAGGUGUGAGGACUUUUUAAAGUCUUCGUGCCGCAGCUAACGCAAUAAGUGCCCCACCUGGGAAGUACGGCCGCAAGGUUG
This 377-nucleotide ribosomal RNA is filed under the name uncultured bacterium. Its description in RNAcentral is "bacterial SSU rRNA". It matches the Rfam family "Bacterial small subunit ribosomal RNA", at positions 521 to 896 of the family's 1533-position model. The record is from RNAcentral.